UACGUAGGGGGCAAGCGUUGUCCGGAUUUAUUGGGCGUAAAGAGCGUGUAGGCGGCCAUACAGGUCAGCUGUGAAAACUCGAGGCUCAACCUCGAGACGUCGGUUGAAACCGUAUGGCUAGAGUCCGGAAGAGGAGAGUGGAAUUCCCGGUGUAGCGGUGAAAUGCGCAGAUAUCGGGAAGAACACCCGUGGCGAAGGCGGCUCUCUGGGGCGGUACUGACGCUGAGACGCGAAAGCGUGGGGAGCGAACAGG
RNAcentral lists this ribosomal RNA (253 nucleotides) under uncultured bacterium. RNAcentral describes it as "partial 16S ribosomal RNA". It matches the Rfam family "Bacterial small subunit ribosomal RNA", at positions 524 to 776 of the family's 1533-position model. The record is from RNAcentral.